RNAcentral lists this long non-coding RNA (216 nucleotides) under Hordeum vulgare. Its description in RNAcentral is "long non-coding RNA (HVUL_LNC011049)". The record is from RNAcentral. Lineage: Eukaryota; Viridiplantae; Streptophyta; Magnoliopsida; Poales; Poaceae.
AGAAAACGUACUGGUAUCAGUAAACUAUAAGCACUGACGCGGCCAGUGAGGCUUAGGAGAUGUGCGUGCACGUUAAUGGAGGUCCAGCGUAUGGUAUGGUAUAGUAUAGUCGCUCCUCCGCAGGCCACGGGUCUGCACUCGUCUUUGCGACCUUGGAAUCGUCAAUGGCGAAUAGUCAAGACAUGUACUGUGGUAUAUGUCCUGCUCCUAGGAAGG